Molecule: ribosomal RNA, 425 nt
Filed under: uncultured bacterium
Lineage: Bacteria
Description: bacterial SSU rRNA
Rfam family: Bacterial small subunit ribosomal RNA
Source: RNAcentral
GUGAGGAAUUUUCCGCAAUGGGCGAAAGCCUGACGGAGCAAUGCCGCGUGAAGGAUGAAGGCCUAUGGGUUGUAAACUUCUUUUCUCAGAAAAGAAUUAUGACGGUAUCUGAGGAAUAAGCAUCGGCUAACUCUGUGCCAGCAGCCGCGGUAAGACAGAGGAUGCAAGCGUUAUCCGGAAUGAUUGGGCGUAAAGCGUCUGUAGGUUGUUUAAAAAGUAUUCUGUCAAAGAUUAGGGCUUAACCCUAGAUAGGCAGAAUAAACUUUUAAGCUAGAGUUUGGUAGAGGCAGAGGGAAUUCCCGGUGGAGCGGUGAAAUGCGUAGAUAUCGGGAGGAACACCAAAGGCGAAGGCACUCUGCUGGGCCAAUACUAACACUGAGAGACGAAAGCGAGGGGAGCAAAUGGGAUUAGAAACCCGUGAGUCC